AUUGAACGCUGGCGGCAGGCCUAACACAUGCAAGUCGAGCGAGCGGCGGACGGGUGAGUAAUGUCUGGGAAACUGCCUGAUGGAGGGGGAUAACUACUGGAAACGGUAGCUAAUACCGCAUACCAUCAGAGGUGCCCAGAUGGGAUUAGCUGGUAGGUGGGGUAACGGCUUACCUAGUCGACGAUCCCUAUCUGGUCUGAGAGGAUGACCAGCCAACCUGGAACUGAUGCAAGGUCCAGACUCCUAAGGGGGGCAGCAGUGGGGAAUAUUGCACAAGUGGCGCAAGCCUGAUGCAGCCAUGCCGCGUGUGUGGAGAAGGCCUUCGGGUUGUAAAGCACUUUCCGCGGGGAGGCGGUACCCGCAGAAGAAGCACCGGCUAACUCCGUGCCAGCAGCCGCGGUAAUAC
This 406-nucleotide ribosomal RNA is filed under the name uncultured bacterium. RNAcentral describes it as "partial 16S ribosomal RNA". It matches the Rfam family "Bacterial small subunit ribosomal RNA", at positions 30 to 526 of the family's 1533-position model. The record is from RNAcentral.